Non-coding RNA from Ictidomys tridecemlineatus (thirteen-lined ground squirrel), 68 nucleotides. Lineage: Eukaryota; Metazoa; Chordata; Mammalia; Rodentia; Sciuridae. The record is from Rfam.
GGUGAGGGGUUCAGUGGUAGAGCAAAUGCCUACUAUGCACGAGGUCCUGGGUUCAAUCCCCAGCACCA